Molecule: ribosomal RNA, 887 nt
Filed under: uncultured bacterium
Lineage: Bacteria
Description: bacterial SSU rRNA
Rfam family: Bacterial small subunit ribosomal RNA
Source: RNAcentral
AGAGUUUGAUCCUGGCUCAGGACGAACGCUGGCGGCGCGCCUAACACAUGCAAGUCGAACGGGGUUCACCUUCGGGUGAGCUUAGUGGCGGACGGGUGAGUAACACGUGAGGAACCUGCCUUUGAGAGUGGGAUACCGUCUGGAAACGGACGUUAAUACCGCAUAAUGCAGCGAGGCCACAUGGUCCUGCUGCCAAAGAUUUAUCGCUCAAAGAUGGCCUCGCGUCUGAUUAGAUAGUUGGCGGGGUAAUGGCCCACCAAGUCUACGAUCAGUAGCCGGACUGAGAGGUCGAACGGCCACAUUGGGACUGAGAUACGGCCCAGACUCCUACGGGAGGCAGCAGUGGGGGAUAUUGCACAAUGGGCGAAAGCCUGAUGCAGCGACGCCGCGUGAGGGAAGACGGUUUUCGGAUUGUAAACCUCUGUCUUCGGGGACGAAACAAGACGGUACCCGAGGAGGAAGCCACGGCUAACUACGUGCCAGCAGCCGCGGUAAUACGUAGGUGGCAAGCGUUGUCCGGAAUUACUGGGUGUAAAGGGAGUGUAGGCGGGGCUUCAAGUCCGUUGUGAAACCGAUCGGCUCAACUGAUCGUUGCGGCGGAAACUGGAGUUCUUGAGUGAGGUAGAGGCAGGCGGAAUUCCCAGUGUAGCGGUGAAAUGCGUAGAUAUUGGGAGGAACACCAGUGGCGAAGGCGGCCUGCUGGGCCUUAACUGACGCUGAGGCUCGAAAGUGUGGGGAGCAAACAGGAUUAGAUACCCUGGUAGUCCACACUGUAAACGAUGAUUACUAGGUGUGGGGGGACUGACCCCUUCCGUGCCGGAGUGAACACAAUAAGUAAUCCACCUGGGGAGUACGACCGCAAGGUUGAAACUCAAAGGAAUUGACGG